UAAACCUUUACCAAUCUUAUGGCCCCCAAAAUUAGUGUGCUAUUUUUAUUUUCCUUUUUUUACUAACACAAGGAUGAAUUAUCACAAGUUUGUAGGACAUCUGUAAUUUUUUCUUUUGUCAGUUAUUUGUCAUAUUUGUCCUUUUGCUACUGGGAUACUUUGAGCUGCUGACUGUAUGACCACAAUUUUAUUUUUGUUGCCAUAAAGCUGUCAACCAUGUGUGUUGUAAAAACACUUCCCAGUUCAUCAGUUUCCACUGGAUUUAGUUUAUAAUAUUUUAUGACGCAAACGUAUUUAUUUUCUGCAGUCAAGUAUACAUAGUUUUCUUUUGUGAUUUAUCCAAUGUCUUUUUAAGGCCAGGAAGUCCUAUACUUAGAAAAAAAAUGAGUUAAAUUCACCUGUAUGUUCUUAUUUUCCUUUAAAUUUCAUUUAAAAAAUCUAUUUUGGGGAUCCCUGGGUGGCGCAGCGGUUUGGCACCUGCCUUUGGCCCAGGGCGCGAUCCUGGACACCCGGGAUCGAGUCCCACAUCAGGCUCCCGGUGCAUGGAGCCUGCUUCUCCCUCUGCCUUUGUCUCUGCCUCUCCCUCUCUCUCUCUCUUUCUGUGACUAUCAUAAAUAAAUAAAAAAAAUUAUUUAAAAAAUCUAUUUUGAUACAGUAUGCAAGGUGAGGUUUUAGACGCAAAAUUUCCCCAAAAUACCAAGUUUCCCCUUCCACAGUGGUUUGUAAUACUUCCUCUUUCACACAUUAUAUUCUAAGUUAGUAUCAUCCCCAUGGGGGCUAGCCCUUCUUGGGAUACAGCUGCUAUUCCUGUGGGCACCACACUCGCAAAUACUGGAACUUUGUAAUACAUUUUCACACUUACUAGGAAUCUCCAGAAUUCCCCUUCUUUGGCACACAUUUCUUAGCUAUUCCUUCCUGUUCUAAGCUCGUUUUGAUAUCUGCCCCAGAUUUGGUACCAGCCACUCUCUCAGCUUCUUUUACUGAAAGAAUGGCAGCGAUCAGAACCCCAGCACUAGAGGAGCAGGUCAGAUGUUCCACACAACUUCUAGCAUUAGGGAGUGUGAUACCAGGGGCAGUCUAGACUCUUUCAGGUUUAGAGAGGAGCUUUUUAAAAGUUGCAAGUUCAUCCUGAUGCUACGAAUUUAUUUUUGUUUUUUUUUAAAGUAAGUUCUUAAGUAAGCAACCCAAGAUCAAGAGUUGCAAGCUCUUCUGACUGAGCCAACCAUGUGCCCCUCAAUGCUUCCAAAUCUUUAAACCUUGCUAAAACACAUAUACACACACACUUUGCUAUGUCUACAGUACUGCUCAUUGUACAUUUCCCUCCUCUCCAGACCUCCUUCCACAUUACCAUCCUUGCAUCCAUCCACUUUGAUACACCAUGCAGUGUGUUGCCACACUCGAUCCUGUUUAAAUUACGGUGUUGUACAAAAUUUAGAAGCGCCUUUCCUUUCUUUCCUUUUUGACACUUGCCUCCAUAUCCUCAAACUGGCUCAAAGUUGACAGGUCCAGAUAUUCUUCCCAAGUGUCAUCAUCUCCUCUGAGCACAUCCCCAGAUAUCUGGAAAGAAAAGGAAAGAAAGAGACAAGGAGAACAGAGAAGACAAAAUCAAAAGACAGGAAAGAAAAGGACACUACAAUAUAAGGCACCUGGUCUUGCCAAUGUUGUUCUCAUAUACUUAAAAAGUCAUCAAAUAAAAAGUAUUUCAAUAUUAAAAAAUAAAAUAUUGGGCAGCCCGGGUGGCUUAGCAGUUUAGCGCUGCCUUCAGCCCAGGGCCUGAUCCUGGAGACCCUGGAUCGAGUCCCACAUCAGGCUCCCUGCACGGAGCCUGCUUCUCCCUCUGCCUCUCUCUCUCUCAUGAAUAAAUAAAUAAAACCUUAAAAUAAAUAAAUAAAAUAAAAUAUUCCUCUUGUUUUUCACAACUAGGAACCAACAUAUAGGCCUUGCUUUAUUCUUUAAUUCAGAUUAGUGCAUGUUUUAUUAUGAUGACGAUUUAUUUUUAACCAUGGGAAAUUUUAGUACAAAACUCUAAUAUUUUAGAAGUCCUUUGGGUGGAUAGAUGCAUAGAUGGGCAUUUAGUCAUUAUCUCAAGGUUUCCCUCUCAUGCCAAUCAAGCAUAUUUGAAAAAAAUAACCAAAUUGAUAUUAAGAGUUAUUAGACAAAUAUACCUACAUGUCCAAUUUUCAUAUUCACAGCAAUUUUUCAAAGGACCAUAAAAUAUCCACAAUAGUACCUAGUAUCUACAAAAACACCAAAAAGGGAGGCUUCGACUUGGCAUUCCAAGUCCAAGUCCGGGAUCCCUGGGUGGCGCAGUGGUUUAGCGCCUGCCUUUGGCCCAGGGCGCGAUCCUGGAGACCCGGGAUCGAAUCUCACAUCGGGCUCCCGGUGCAUGGAGCCUGCUUCUCCCUCUGCCUAUGUCUCUGCCUCUCUCUCUCUGUGACUACCAUAAAUAAAUUA
RNAcentral lists this long non-coding RNA (2454 nucleotides) under Canis lupus familiaris (dog). RNAcentral's name for it is "lncRNA (ENSCAFG00845013921.1)". Lineage: Eukaryota; Metazoa; Chordata; Mammalia; Carnivora; Canidae. The record is from RNAcentral.